Gavialis gangeticus (Gharial) is the source of this 134-nucleotide long non-coding RNA. RefSeq lists it as uncharacterized. The record is from RefSeq and is a predicted model, not a curated record. NCBI's taxonomy places the organism in Eukaryota, Metazoa, Chordata, Crocodylia, Gavialidae. The transcript has 3 exons.
CCUAGAAUACCCAGAAAGAAAGAUUUAUUGAUUUGCUCCAGAACUUAAGUACAUAACAAAGUUAGAAGGUUAUAAGGACAGCCAACAUUGGCUCUGGUAAGUAUGAAUUGCUCUUGUCAAAAUCAUGUUAUGAA